Molecule: long non-coding RNA, 235 nt
Organism: Armigeres subalbatus
Lineage: Eukaryota; Metazoa; Arthropoda; Insecta; Diptera; Culicidae
Exons: 3
Source: RefSeq, a predicted model, not a curated record
UCGGCUUCUUGCUGUUUAUUGAAACGAAACGUGCAGCGAACGGUAUCAUUUCAGAAAGCUAAAUACGAGCUAAAUACGAGCUAAAUAUCCUUAACUAAAAUUAGUGGUUUGUUCUCUAUAAAAUCGUGUGAAUUCCAUGCAAUUAGACACACACGGAACACAUAUAGUACGGUAGAACUGUCCUUAAAGCUAUACAUGCAAACAGAUUUAUGUAAGUAGAAGAAGUUAAAUAUUG